This 349-nucleotide ribosomal RNA is filed under the name uncultured Desulfobulbus sp. RNAcentral's name for it is "bacterial SSU rRNA". It matches the Rfam family "Bacterial small subunit ribosomal RNA", at positions 1032 to 1382 of the family's 1533-position model. The record is from RNAcentral. Lineage: Bacteria; Pseudomonadati; Thermodesulfobacteriota; Desulfobulbia; Desulfobulbales; Desulfobulbaceae.
AGACAGGUGCUGCAUGGCUGUCGUCAGCUCGUGUCGUGAGAUGUUGGGUUAAGUCCCGCAACGAGCGCAACCCUUGCCUUUAGUUGCCAGCAGUUCGGCUGGGCACUCUAAAGGGACUGCCGGUGUUAAACCGGAGGAAGGUGGGGAUGACGUCAAGUCCUCAUGGCCUUUAUGACCAGGGCUACACACGUACUACAAUGCCGAUACAAAGGGCAGCGACACUGCGAGGUGAAGCCAAUCCCGUAAAAUCGGUCUCAGUCCGGAUUGGAGUCUGCAACUCGACUCCAUGAAGUUGGAAUCGCUGGUAAUCGUGGAUCAGCAUGCCACGGUGAAUACGUUCCCGGGCCUU